GAGCAAGAAAGAGAGGAAGAGGGAAGUUCCAAACAGGGGAGAAAAGCUAAUUAACCCCUAUUUUACUUAUUCUGUGGCUGUGAAUGAAUUGAUAUGUAGCAGCGAAAGCUACUAGGUUAUUAGCCAGAUUCCGUCAAAUUCACCAUCAUCUUUGGGUACUACCUCCUGAGAACUUCACACAGAUAUUCAUUAUCACUCGUCGUUCGCAUCAUCGGCCAAAAUACUAAACUAAUUGCAGUUCAGCUUCAACAAAUCAACCCUUAAAGGCAAUAGUGAGACUCGGUUGAGCCGUCUCUGAAGGUCUCAGGUUGAUGGUGAAUGCGUGACAAGGGUGGUCGGUACUAAUGAUUGACAAACGGCGUACUUCUCGAGCUGAUGAUUAAUAACCAAUGCCGGUAAGG
Non-coding RNA from Nelumbo nucifera (sacred lotus), 401 nucleotides. The record is from RefSeq and is a predicted model, not a curated record. Lineage: Eukaryota; Viridiplantae; Streptophyta; Magnoliopsida; Proteales; Nelumbonaceae.